RNAcentral lists this unclassified non-coding RNA (340 nucleotides) under Portunus trituberculatus (swimming crab). RNAcentral's name for it is "agglutinin-like protein 1, transcript variant X1". The record is from RNAcentral. Lineage: Eukaryota; Metazoa; Arthropoda; Malacostraca; Decapoda; Portunidae.
ACACACACACACACACACACACACACACACACACACAUAAAAAGGAGAGAGGCUGGUGUGAGGCGUUCAUUGCUAAGGUGUGCUGGGUUGCGUGCACACAUACACACACACACACACACAUACGCACGCACGCACAUAGUAUACACGCACACGCACACACACACGCACUUCCUCGUCUUCGCUUUCGUCAGGAGUGCUUCAAGGAUGCGCGGCCUGGUGGUGCUGCUGGCGGCGGCGGCGGUGGCCACAGCCCAAGUGGGGGGCGGCGGCUGGCUCAGCGACGGGUACCUGCCGCCGCGGCCUGACCCUGAGGGCGCGGGCGGCGGGGCAUGCGAGGCAG